Molecule: long non-coding RNA, 362 nt
Organism: Dermacentor albipictus
Lineage: Eukaryota; Metazoa; Arthropoda; Arachnida; Ixodida; Ixodidae
Source: RefSeq, a predicted model, not a curated record
GCAGUGUAUGCGCUGCGCUUGUAAGCUCAAAAUGACUAGACCUGGUGAGGGGCCCUUUAACGAACUUGACACCAUGCAAUGUAUUCUGAUGAAGGCUGGACCCCGGCCGAAACAUCAAUAAACCUCUGCAUACGCGCGUCUACUUCACUAGCAGGAUUGGCCACCCUGGUGCAGUACUUGGCCACAACCUCCGGUAUGAACACAACAUUCAAACCCGGCCCUCAGUCCCCAGCAGCUGCGAAGCAACUGACCAUGGCGGCGGACAGACCUGCAACGCAGCAGAGGGUGCUAAGAAUCUUUGGAUCCGGACAGGCCUCCAUUGAAAUCUGAACCUGGCAACGUUCAACGCUGGAACGUUAUCU